Molecule: long non-coding RNA, 517 nt
Organism: Limulus polyphemus (Atlantic horseshoe crab)
Lineage: Eukaryota; Metazoa; Arthropoda; Merostomata; Xiphosura; Limulidae
Exons: 3
Source: RefSeq, a predicted model, not a curated record
CAGAAAUCAACCGGGAAAGAUUUAAACCAGGAGGCCAAGGAAUUCCUUUUAAAGCAAGCUUCAAUAACAAGUUCUGAUGAAAGUGAAGAAGAUAAGACAGAAAAGGAGAAAACGGACUCGAAAACCGAUCAGAACAAAGAAAACAAAGAGCCGAAACUGGAUGAGGAGGAAAAUAAAGAGACAGAUGAUGAUGAUGAUUCCCUGUGUGAUUUUGACACCAGCCCAAGAAAGAAAAGAAAAUAUCAUAAACUACUGAGGGUAAAGAUAACAGACAGUGAGGAGGAGGAGGAGGAUAAAAGUUCCAAUGAAGCUCCAAAAGAUAAAUCAAAAAUAAAAUCUUCCCAAGCAAAGAGAAGAAUAUUUUCAUCAGAUGAUGAUUUCAAAGAUUCAGAACAUAAAAAAUCAAAUACCUCAGACGGUUCAUCCGUAUACUCGGACGCUGAGAAAACAAAGAAGAGGAAGAGGAAAUCAAGUGACGAUGAAAAACGCGGAGCAAGAAGUUAUCAUAAGCAGCCAA